Molecule: ribosomal RNA, 253 nt
Filed under: uncultured bacterium
Lineage: Bacteria
Description: partial 16S ribosomal RNA
Rfam family: Bacterial small subunit ribosomal RNA
Source: RNAcentral
UACAGAGGUCCCAAGCGUUGUUCGGAUUCAUUGGGCGUAAAGGGUGUGUAGGUGGCGCCGUAAGUCGGGUGUGAAAUUUCGGAGCUUAACUCCGAAACUGCAUUCGAUACUGCGGUGCUUGAGGACUGGAGAGGAGACUGGAAUUCAUGGUGUAGCAGUGAAAUGCGUAGAGAUCAUGAGGAAGACCAGUGGCGAAGGCGGGUCUCUGGACAGUUCCUGACGCUGAGGCACGAAGGCCAGGGGAGCAAACGGG